RNAcentral lists this ribosomal RNA (591 nucleotides) under uncultured bacterium. Its description in RNAcentral is "bacterial SSU rRNA". It matches the Rfam family "Bacterial small subunit ribosomal RNA", at positions 102 to 694 of the family's 1533-position model. The record is from RNAcentral.
ACGGGUGCGUAACACGUGAGCAACCUACCGAACUGUGGGGGAUAGCCGGCCUAACGGCCGAGUAAUACCGCAUACGCUUUCAGUGAGGCAUUUCAUUGAAAAGAAACCUACGGGACAGAUCGAGGGGCUCGCGGCCUAUCAGCUAAUUGGCGAGGUAAUGGCUCACCAAGGCUACGACGGGUAGCUGGUCUGAGAGGAUGGCCAGCCACAUUGGGACUGAGAUACGGCCCAGACUCCUACGGGAGGCAGCAGUGGGGAAUCUUGCGCAAUGGCCUAACGGCUGACGCAGCGACGCCGCGUGUGGGAUGAAGCUCUUCGGAGUGUAAACCACUGUUGCCCGGGACGAACAGCUCGAUUCAUCGAGCCUGACGGUACCGGGUGAGGAAGCACCGGCUAACUCCGUGCCAGCAGCCGCGGUAAUACGGGGGGUGCGAGCGUUGUCCGGAAUCACUGGGCGUAAAGGGCGCGUAGGUGGUUUGAUAAGGGUGUGGUGAAAGUCCGGGGCUCAACUCCGGAUCUGCCGUGCCGACUGUCAAACUCGAGGGCUGUAGAGGCAGACGGAAUUCCGGGUGUAGCGGUGGAAUGCGUAGA